AUGGCUAUAUCACGUUGAAACACCGGUUUUUGUACGAUCACCAAAGUUAAGCAACGUCGAGCGUGGUCAGUACCUAGAUAGGUGACCGUUUGGGGAUACCAGGUGCUGUAAG
This is a non-coding RNA of Acanthosepion pharaonis, 112 nucleotides long. The record is from the annotation of a GenBank genome assembly. Lineage: Eukaryota; Metazoa; Mollusca; Cephalopoda; Sepiida; Sepiidae.